Molecule: ribosomal RNA, 450 nt
Filed under: uncultured Paraglomus
Lineage: Eukaryota; Fungi; Glomeromycota; Glomeromycetes; Paraglomerales; Paraglomeraceae
Description: SSU rRNA
Rfam family: Eukaryotic small subunit ribosomal RNA
Source: RNAcentral
AGCAGCCGCGGUAAUUCCAGCUCCAAUAGCGUAUAUUAAAGUUGUUGCAGUUAAAAAGCUCGUAGUUGAACUUCAGGCCUGGCUGGACGGUCCGCCCUCUGGGUGAGCACUGUCUGUGGUCGGGUCCUACCUUCUGGCGAAGCGGCAUGGCCUUAACCGGCCGUGGCGGGGAACCAGGACUUUUACUGUGAAAAAUUAGAGUGUUCAAAGCAGGCACGCGCUUGAAUACAUUAGCAUGGAAUAAUGGAAUAGGACAAUGGUUCUAUUUGUUGGUUUCUAGGACCGUUGUAAUGAUUAAUAGGGAUAGUUGGGGGCAUUAGUAUUCAAUUGUCAGAGGUGAAAUUCUUGGAUUUAUUGAAGACUAACUACUGCGAAAGCAUUUGCCAAGGAUGUUUUCAUUAAUCAAGAACGAAAGUUAGGGGAUCGAAGACGAUCAGAUACCGUCGUAGU